RNAcentral lists this ribosomal RNA (407 nucleotides) under uncultured bacterium. RNAcentral's name for it is "partial 16S ribosomal RNA". It matches the Rfam family "Bacterial small subunit ribosomal RNA", at positions 28 to 526 of the family's 1533-position model. The record is from RNAcentral.
GACGAACGCUGGCGGCGUGCCUAAUACAUGCAAGUCGAAGCUCGUUGCGAACGGGUGAGUAACGCGUAGGAACCUUCCUCAUAGCGGGGGAUUACCUUUUGAAACGAUAGCUAAUACCGCAUUCUUUUAGCUGGACGUGCUUUGUAUUAGCUAGUUGGUGGGGUAAAGGUUCACCAAGGCGACGAUCCAUAGCCGGCCUGUGAGGGUGAUCGGCCACACUGGGACUGAGACACGGCCCAGACUCCUACGGGAGGCAGCAGUGGGGAAUUUUGGACAAUGGGGGAAACCCUGAUCCAGCCAUGCCGCGUGUGCGAUGAAGGCCUUCGGGUUGUAAAGCACUUUUGGCAGGAAAGCGGUACCUGCAGAAUAAGCACCGGCUAACUACGUGCCAGCAGCCGCGGUAAUUC